GACGAACGCUGGCGGCGUGCUUAACACAUGCAAGUCGAACGGAAAGACCCUGCUUUUGUGGGGUGCUCGAGUGGCGAACGGGUGAGUAACACGUGAGUAACCUGCCCUUGACUUUGGGAUAACUUCAGGAAACUGGGGCUAAUACCGUAUAGGAGCUCCUGCUGCAUGGUGGGGGUUGGAAAGUUUCGGCGGUUGGGGAUGGACUCGCGGCUUAUCAGCUUGUUGGUGGGGUAGUGGCUUACCAAGGCUUUGACGGGUAGCCGGCCUGAGAGGGUGACCGGCCACAUUGGGACUGAGAUACGGCCCAGACUCCUACGGGAGGCAGCAGUGGGGAAUAUUGCACAAUGGGCGGAAGCCUGAUGCAGCAACGCCGCGUGCGGGAUGACGGCCUUCGGGUUGUAAACCGCUUUCGCCUGUGACGAAGCGUGAGUGACGGUAACGGGUAAAGAAGCACCGGCUAACUACGUG
RNAcentral lists this ribosomal RNA (468 nucleotides) under uncultured bacterium. RNAcentral's name for it is "partial 16S ribosomal RNA". It matches the Rfam family "Bacterial small subunit ribosomal RNA", at positions 28 to 507 of the family's 1533-position model. The record is from RNAcentral.